CGGGGAAUCAUCGUCUUCUGCUUCAUCGUCAUCUUCAAUCUCAACGACUCCACCGAGGGGAUGAAGGAGAAGUGGUUGUUCAAUGCCUACACUUGUGUGAGUAGGCAUAAUAGUAACCACUUCUUCUUGAAAUGGUUGAUCUAAUGUUGAUGUAGAUGUUGCAGUAGACACUUCAACCUUUGAUCUUGCGUUGACUUUGCAU
This 202-nucleotide long non-coding RNA is filed under the name Salvia miltiorrhiza (redroot sage). RNAcentral describes it as "long non-coding RNA (SMIL_LNC001160)". The record is from RNAcentral. Lineage: Eukaryota; Viridiplantae; Streptophyta; Magnoliopsida; Lamiales; Lamiaceae.